AUGGCACGAUGAGGGAAUUUUCACGAAAACACCUUAAAACGCUCUGAUGCCUCAUAUAAAGAUUCUUCAUCAUGUUUCUGAAAUGAAGUAAUCUCAUUGCGAAGCUU
Humulus lupulus (European hop) is the source of this 107-nucleotide small nucleolar RNA. NCBI's taxonomy places the organism in Eukaryota, Viridiplantae, Streptophyta, Magnoliopsida, Rosales, Cannabaceae. The record is from RefSeq and is a predicted model, not a curated record.